This is a long non-coding RNA of Mauremys reevesii (Reeves's turtle), 283 nucleotides long. RefSeq lists it as uncharacterized. The transcript is spliced from 3 exons. The record is from RefSeq and is a predicted model, not a curated record. NCBI's taxonomy places the organism in Eukaryota, Metazoa, Chordata, Testudines, Geoemydidae.
CAACGAUUCAGCAAAAUUGAUUUGUCACAGGCCUACCUAUGGAUGGAAGUUGAGGGAGAGUCUAAGGCAUACCUCACAAUCAACACACAAAUGGUGGCUCCUGAGGUACUAACAAGAGCCGAGCCAGCUCUUCAAAGUUCACUUCAAAGCAGACUCAGUUUCCAGCUGGCCUUUGCUAAAUCUACCUAAUCCCAGACUACAAUUAGCAACAAUAUUUCUCUACUUACGUUCCAGUCUAUAGUAACAAAGAACAGGUGCCGUUUAAUUUCUUCAACUCCAUCGA